This is a long non-coding RNA of Harmonia axyridis, 1026 nucleotides long. RefSeq lists it as uncharacterized. NCBI's taxonomy places the organism in Eukaryota, Metazoa, Arthropoda, Insecta, Coleoptera, Coccinellidae. The record is from RefSeq and is a predicted model, not a curated record. The transcript is spliced from 3 exons.
AAUGUUCUCCUUCUCAACCAGCAGGAAUAUAACUUCACCAAUAUCUAUGCAUAUCGAGAUAUUUCUUCAUAAUGAAGUGUCCUCGACCCGACUGCAUGGAUAUAAAACUUCGCAAAGUAUCAUCAAUUCCAGAGAAUUAGUGUAACGACAGCAUCAAGCGCAAUAUAAGCGUCAUUUAUCAUGUCCCCUUGCGCCACAAAGGACAGAAUAGAUGGAAUUGACACCCGUAUUUUUCAGUCGGCAAUUUCAAUGUUCAUAGAGGGAUAGUAUAUUUUCAUUCAACUUCAUUUCCAUUGAAAAUUUGUCAAGUGGAGUGACAUAUAUAUAAGAGAUGCGAAAAUAUUGUUUUUGUUCUCUCUAAUCAACUGGCCAAACCGACUGUUAUUUGUGAAAUUAUUGAAGUUUUACCCUUCCAAUUGAUGUCUGAUGGUUUCAAUUUCAUUGAUGUGGUUCAUUUCCGGGUUACCCUUAAUCUACCGCAAUUUUUCGGCUACCUUCCGCUGGGAAUUGUGGUGUUUCAUCCCGAUAUCACUGGUGAAAUCUUCAGUUUGGCAACCCAGUGAUCUCUGCCAAAUACACCUUCCCACUCCAUCGUGGAGAGGUGACUCUGCUGUAAUGUGGCAGCCAUUAUAAUCCCGCUGGGGCCGCACUAGAGGGUUGAGGGCAGAAAGAGUCACAACAGAUAUUUUGAUCGCAUUUAUCGCAAAAAACUAUAAAAUCAUCAAUGGUAGUGAGUUUGGAAAUGAGCCUUACAAAAUUAUCGCCUGAAAAAUCAGAAUACAGGGUUAAUUUGGCUUACUUGAAGCAAAUAUCUGAAACUAUCAAAUCCUUUACCUUGUGGAUUAUGGAAUGUAUAUAAAGCCAUUUUCCCACAGGUUAGUACAUUCUAUAAAAUGAGGAAUGUUUGUUAUAAAGCAAGUAAGUCACAUGUCUUCCCCAGCGAGAAAAUCAACAAAUUCAUUAAGGAAGUAGAUAAUAAAAAUAUAUGUUAUUUUAACAACAUAUUUCAAUAGCAGGAUGAUAAAA